RNAcentral lists this ribosomal RNA (439 nucleotides) under uncultured bacterium. RNAcentral's name for it is "bacterial SSU rRNA". It matches the Rfam family "Bacterial small subunit ribosomal RNA", at positions 958 to 1397 of the family's 1533-position model. The record is from RNAcentral.
AACGCGAAGAACCUUACCUGGGCUCGAAGUGCUGCUGACCAGCGGUAGAAAUAUCGCCUUCUCGCAAGAGACAGUAGUAGAGGUGCUGCAUGGCUGUCGUCAGCUCGUGCCGUGAGGUGUUGGGUUAAGUCCCGCAACGAGCGCAACCCUUACUCUUAGUUGCCACCCGCAAGGGGGAACUCUAAGAGGACUGCUCCGGAUAACGGAGAGGAAGGUGGGGAUGACGUCAAGUCAGCAUGGCCUUUAUGUCCAGGGCUACACACGUGUUACAAUGCAUGGUACAGACCGUCGCGAACCCGCGAGGGGGAGCUAAUCGGAAAAAGCCAUGCUCAGUUCGGACUGCAGUCUGCAACUCGACUGCACGAAGCCGGAAUCGCUAGUAAUGCCGUAUCAGAACGACGGCGUGAAUACGUUCCCGGGCCUUGUACACACCGCAUAC